This 480-nucleotide ribosomal RNA is filed under the name uncultured bacterium. Its description in RNAcentral is "bacterial SSU rRNA". It matches the Rfam family "Bacterial small subunit ribosomal RNA", at positions 28 to 530 of the family's 1533-position model. The record is from RNAcentral.
GAUGAACGCUGGCGGCGUGCCUAACACAUGCAAGUCGAGCGAUUCUCUUCGGAGAAGAGCGGCGGACGGGUGAGUAACGCGUGGGUAACCUGCCCUGUACACACGGAUAACAUACCGAAAGGUAUGCUAAUACGAGAUAAUAUGCUUUUGUCGCAUGGUAGAAGUAUCAAAGCUCCGGCGGUACAGGAUGGACCCGCGUCUGAUUAGCUAGUUGGUAAGGUAACGGCUUACCAAGGCGACGAUCAGUAGCCGACCUGAGAGGGUGAUCGGCCACAUUGGAACUGAGACACGGUCCAAACUCCUACGGGAGGCAGCAGUGGGGAAUAUUGCACAAUGGGCGAAAGCCUGAUGCAGCAACGCCGCGUGAAGGAUGAAGGUUUUCGGAUCGUAAACUUCUUUGAUGAGGGACGAAUAAUGACGGUACCUCAAGAACAAGCCAACGGCUAACUACGUGCCAGCAGCCGCGGUAAAGUCACGUCG